UCAAGCCCAAUGCGUUGCCAAUGAACAGGAUGCUUUGUUAUCCUGCAUCGCAUCCGCACCUAGAUACGCUGCUCCAACGUUUCAGGUUAGUACCUAACUACCUAUGGCUAUACUCCUACCCUACUAAAUGUUUAAAUCCGUUAAUUCUGUAUUUGGGACAGUAUCGUUUAAAUAUUUGAUUGGAUCCGUUUCGACAUAAUAAUCUUCAUGAUUAAUUCGCUAUAUUAAUAACAUAAGAAAAUUAGGUCAUCCAACAAAAUAUUUCCCAUUGUGAUGAUCAACUAAACAAAUUAAUUAAUCUUUACUAAUAAAUUUGCCUAUUGAAAAAAUAAAAUUCUAUAAAAUAGUCGGAAACAGUAUGUGGGGUUGUAACAACGUCAAACACUAUUUGUAUUGUUUUAAAAAAUAAGAAAAUUUGUAUAUUUCUGAAUGUAUGCGACCAACCACAAUAUGUACCUAAUUUUCAAUAAUAUUUUUAUAUUCUUA
RNAcentral lists this long non-coding RNA (486 nucleotides) under Panax ginseng (ginseng). RNAcentral describes it as "long non-coding RNA (PGIN_LNC010038)". Lineage: Eukaryota; Viridiplantae; Streptophyta; Magnoliopsida; Apiales; Araliaceae. The record is from RNAcentral.